CUAGAACAGCCUUUGAGGUCCCAGGAAAGGUCUAACCCUCCCUUGGAGAGCCUUCUAAGAGUCUGGCAGCCAGAGGAAGGAGUACGCUAGGAGUAUGGGGACGACGUGUGGAAAACUAGGGUCUGGGAAAAGAUUCUCUUGGACUGACUGAGGACCCAGCAGGUUCAGCAAGGCAGAGCCUUUUCCUGUGCCACCCUAACGACCAGAUAAUGUUUGUCGAAUGAAUGAACAAAAGUCUGCAUCUAGCAUGGUACACCAAGUAAACGCAUACAGAGCGCGGUGUUCUGAACUGUUUGCAGUGUCUUUGAUGGAUCUGCCCUUCUUUAAGAUGUUUACUUGUGUUUGUGGAACAAGUUCAUCCACCAAGAUGAGAACCAUGGCUUCUGGGACAGGUCUGCCAAGUGAGGGUGGUCAGGUUGUCUCUAUUUAUUUCAAAUUCUCGAAAAGGUCCCUCGAUUAUUGUUUCAGCAUAUGUGUUUGUACAUUUAUGCUUACUGUUAACAGCUCUACUUUUUUUAACCGAUUUACCAAGCACUGAGUAUCUGACCUUUGGACAGCAUGUACUGACACGUUACCAUGACUGCCCAAGGCGGGCUGCAGCCCAUUCUGACAUGUGUUUGUCCACACCAAUUCAAAAUGAUAAGACACAUAGAUCAGUGGAAUGGAAUCAAGAGGCUAGAAAUAAACCCAUACAUGUAUGGCUAAAUGACAAGGGUGCCAAGACAAUAAAAUGGGGAAAGAAUUGUCUUUCAACAAAUGGUACUGGAACAACUAGAUUUCCACAAGCAAACGAAGGAAGUUGGACCUCUAUUUUACAGCAGAUAUAAAAAUCAACUCGAAGUAGAUCAAAGACCUAAAUUUAGAAGCUAAAACUAUAAAACUCUUAGAAGAAAACAUAGCAAUAAAUCUUCCUGACCUCAGAUUUGGCAAUGGAUUCUUAGAAAUGACAUACAAGUACAAGCAACAAAAAAGAAAAAACAAACUGGACUUCAUAAAACUUAAAAACUUUUGUGCAUCAAAAGACUAUCAAGGGGCCGGCCCCAUGGCCAACUGGUUAAGUUUGAGCGCUCCGCUUCUGCGGUGCAGGAUUUCACCGGUUCGGGUCCCUGGGGCGGACAUGGCACCGCUCAGUGGGCCACGCUGAGGCUGCAUCCCACAUAGCACAACCAGAAGGACCCACAACUAUGUACCAGGGGGCUUUGGGGAGAAAAAGGAAAAAGAAAUUAAAUCUUUAAAAAAAAAAAGAAUUACCAUAUGAUCCAGCAUCCUAGGUAUGUAUACCCCAAAGAAUUUAAAACAGGCACUCAAACAAAUAUGUUUACACAAAUGUCCAUUAUGGCACUACUCACAGUAGCUAAAAUGUGGAAACAACCCACGUGUCCAUCAACGGAUGAAUGGAUAAACAAAAUGUGAACUAUCCAUACAAUGGAAUAUAAUUCAGCCAUAAUACUACCACGUUACAUGCUACCUUCUACAAUGUGGAUGAACCUCCAAAACAUUACGCUAAGAGAAAGAAGCCAGACACAAAAGGUCACAUAUUGUAUGCUUUCCAUUUGUAUGACUUGUCCAGGAUAGGGAAAUCGAUAGAGACAGAAAGCAAAUUAGUGGUUGCCAGGGGUUGAGGGGUGGGAGGAAUGGGGAGUGAUUGCUUAAUGGGUACAUGGUUUCCUUUUGAGGUGAGGAAAAUGUUUCAGAACUAGAUCAGAGGUGAUGGUUACAAUAUUGUGAGUGUACUAAAUGCCAU
Equus caballus (horse) is the source of this 1744-nucleotide long non-coding RNA. Lineage: Eukaryota; Metazoa; Chordata; Mammalia; Perissodactyla; Equidae. The record is from Ensembl.